This 429-nucleotide ribosomal RNA is filed under the name Gemmatimonadota bacterium. RNAcentral's name for it is "Gemmatimonadetes bacterium partial 16S ribosomal RNA". It matches the Rfam family "Bacterial small subunit ribosomal RNA", at positions 355 to 776 of the family's 1533-position model. The record is from RNAcentral. Lineage: Bacteria; Pseudomonadati; Gemmatimonadota.
UAGGGAAUCUUCGGCAAUGGACGAAAGUCUGACCGAGCAACGCCGCGUGAGUGAAGAAGGUUUUCGGAUCGUAAAACUCUGUUGUUAGAGAAGAACAAGGACGUUAGUAACUGAACGUCCCCUGACGGUAUCUAACCAGAAAGCCACGGCUAACUACGUGCCAGCAGCCGCGGUAAUACGUAGGUGGCAAGCGUUGUCCGGAUUUAUUGGGCGUAAAGCGAGCGCAGGCGGUUUCUUAAGUCUGAUGUGAAAGCCCCCGGCUCAACCGGGGAGGGUAAUUGGAACCUGGGAGACUUGAGUGCAGAAGAGGAGAGUGGAAUUCCAUGUGUAGCGGUGAAAUGCGUAGAUAUAUGGAGGAACACCAGUGGCGAAGGCGGCUCUCUGGUCUGUAACUGCCGCUGAGGCUCGAAAGCGUGGGGAGCAAACAGG